This 253-nucleotide ribosomal RNA is filed under the name uncultured bacterium. RNAcentral describes it as "partial 16S ribosomal RNA". It matches the Rfam family "Bacterial small subunit ribosomal RNA", at positions 524 to 776 of the family's 1533-position model. The record is from RNAcentral.
UACAGAGGUCCCGAGCGUUGUUCGGAUUCAUUGGGCGUAAAGGGUGCGUAGGCGGCGGGGAAAGUCUGAUGUGAAAUCCUGGGGCUCAACCCUGGAACUGCAUUGGAUACUUCCUUGCUAGAGUACUGGAGAGGAAACUGGAAUUUACGGUGUAGCAGUGAAAUGCGUAGAGAUCGUAAGGAAGACCAGUGGCGAAGGCGAGUUUCUGGACAGUUACUGACACUGAGGCACGAAGGCCAGGGGAGCAAACGGG